Nicotiana tabacum (common tobacco) is the source of this 1013-nucleotide long non-coding RNA. RefSeq lists it as uncharacterized. The record is from RefSeq and is a predicted model, not a curated record. Lineage: Eukaryota; Viridiplantae; Streptophyta; Magnoliopsida; Solanales; Solanaceae.
UCUUUUUUUGUUUGUUCUUGUAGCAUUUCAAUAAAAUUUAGGGAGGAUGGGUAUUUUGAUCUAUAUUUGUUAUUUGAGUAUCUUGUAAAAGGAUGUUUACUCCCUUAGACUGACAACGUGAAACUUGUGUUGCUGCGGAACUUGAAGCUCACAAGAAUUGGCUUUUCUGCUCAGUAGUUGGGAAUAAUCAUUCGGGGCUUGAAUAGUCUAAAAAUCUGGUGUAGGCCUAUUAAACUACUUAAACAUCUUUGCCGCAAGGCUCCCUAUGGUUGGAAAUACACUAUCAUCUCAAUUUAAAUUCCUUCAAUUUGUCUCUUAAAUUUAUCAUUUGAACUCCGCAUAUACCAUCUUCCUACUCACCCUCGACGAAUCUGGAGACCUACUCCAUAAUUAUAUAUGCUCUAUUUUGCACAUUUCUUGUUGGAAAAUAGGAAAGUGGUCACAAACUCACAAUGGUGGUUUUUAAUUGUGGAGGGACUGAAUCACUGUUUACAUAUAGACAACCUUCAUUUAUGGUUCCUCAAAGAGUAAUUUUUUUGAGCUCAACAGCCUCGAUCUUUCACUAUUUGAUCAAAAGAAGUUAAAGUUCUACUGGAUAACAAGAACAUUAUAGAUGCUUACCAAGUGUUUGAGGAAUGUUCACUCUGAAAAUCCAAAAGCUACGCGUAAGCUGGAUAGCAACAGACUCUAGUUAUGAUGCUUGCCAAGAAACAUAGAGACAAAGCUACCAAGGCUGUAGGAACUGGAAUAAACAAAAACGAAAGAAGUUACUUUGAGAAAGAGACUGGAUUUGGAGAAAAUCUGUAAGAAGGCACAUUUGGUUAUUGAGAUUUGAGACACAAAAUUCAAUCUGUUUCCUGUGGAAACUAUAGAAACUGGUAUGUAUUCUGUCUUAAAUAGACAUCAACUUUACAUGUAGCAACUUUUUCUUGUUCAACCAAAUGAUUUCUAACUGAAUCAUUGCUGCGGGUUACUUAAACAAAGUCAGUGAAAUAUCUUGGUUUCAAUCUUGA